GACGAACGCUGGCGGCGUGCUUAACACAUGCAAGUCGAACGGUAAGGCCCUUCGGGGUACACGAGUGGCGAACGGGUGAGUAACACGUGGGUGAUCUGCCCUGCACUUCGGGAUAAGCCUGGGGAACUGGGUCUAAUACCGGAUAGGACCACUGCCUGCAUGGGUGGGGGUGGAAAGGUUUUGCGGUGUGGGAAGGGCCCGCGGCCUAUCAGCUUGGUGGGGGGGUGAUGGCCUACCAAGGCGACGACGGGUAGCCGGCCUGAGAGGGUGACCGGCCACACUGGGACUGAGAUACGGCCCAGACUCCUACGGGAGGCAGCAGUGGGGAAUAUUGCACAAUGGGCGCAAGCCUGAUGCAGCGACGCCGCGUGAGGGAUGACGGCCUUCGGGUUGUAAACCUCUUUCAGCACCGACGAAGCGCAAGUGACGGUAGGUGCAGAAGAAGGACCGGCCAACUACGUGCCAGCCGCCGCCGUAA
This 478-nucleotide ribosomal RNA is filed under the name uncultured bacterium. Its description in RNAcentral is "partial 16S ribosomal RNA". It matches the Rfam family "Bacterial small subunit ribosomal RNA", at positions 28 to 523 of the family's 1533-position model. The record is from RNAcentral.